RNAcentral lists this small nuclear RNA (323 nucleotides) under Marmota monax (woodchuck). RNAcentral describes it as "7SK RNA". It matches the Rfam family "7SK RNA". From Rfam's summary of the family: 7SK was discovered as an abundant small nuclear RNA in the mid-70s but a possible function has only recently been suggested. Two independent studies have found that 7SK RNA binds the CDK9/cyclin T complex (known as elongation factor P-TEFb). Lineage: Eukaryota; Metazoa; Chordata; Mammalia; Rodentia; Sciuridae. The record is from Rfam by way of RNAcentral.
UGCGAAGGUGAUCUGGUUGUCACAUCUGUCACCCUACUGAUCACCAGGGUUGAUAUGGCUGAUGUGUUUGGCUAGGUAGGUCCCAUCCUCCCUCACUGAACCAUGUGCAUCCUUCCUGAACCUGUGCCUUUGAUGGAAAAGGACAACCUUCUCUGAUAGAGAAGGACCAUUUUUUGGUCAAGUGCAAAUGAGUAGAUGUGCUCCCCUUGGUAGAACCUCCAAACAUUCUCUCAAGUGUCCACUGAUUCAGGUUUGUGAGACACAAGCUGCUGUUGUGAAGAGACAGAUAUCUCAAACACUUAAACUCAAACCCUUCUACAGAG